Molecule: ribosomal RNA, 730 nt
Filed under: uncultured Bacilli bacterium
Lineage: Bacteria; Bacillati; Bacillota; Bacilli
Description: bacterial SSU rRNA
Rfam family: Bacterial small subunit ribosomal RNA
Source: RNAcentral
CUAAUACAUGCAAGUCGAGCGAGCGGAACAACAGAUUUACUUCGGUAAUGACGUUGGGAAAGCGAGCGGCGGAUGGGUGAGUAACACGUGGGGAACCUGCCCCUAAGUCUGGGAUACCAUUUGGAAACAGGUGCUAAUACCGGAUAAUAAAGCAGAUCGCAUGAUCAGCUUUUGAAAGGCGGCGUAAGCUGUCGCUAAGGGAUGGCCCCGCGGUGCAUUAGCUAGUUGGUAAGGUAACGGCUUACCAAGGCGACGAUGCAUAGCCGAGUUGAGAGACUGAUCGGCCACAUUGGGACUGAGACACGGCCCAAACUCCUACGGGAGGCAGCAGUAGGGAAUCUUCCACAAUGGACGCAAGUCUGAUGGAGCAACGCCGCGUGAGUGAAGAAGGUUUUCGGAUCGUAAAGCUCUGUUGUUGGUGAAGAAGGAUAGAGGUAGUAACUGGCCUUUAUUUGACGGUAAUCAACCAGAAAGUCCACGGCUAACUACGUGCCAGCACCCGCGGUAAUACGUAGGUGGCAAGCGUUGUCCGGAUUUAUUGGGCCUUAAACGGAGCCCAGCCGGAAAAAUAAGUCUAAUGUGAAAGCCCUCGGCUUAACCGAGGAACUGCAUCGGAAACUGUUUUUCUUGAGUGCAGAAGAGGAGAGUGGAACUCCAUGUGUAGCGGUGGAAUGCGUAGAUAUAUGGAAGAACACCAGUGGCGAAGGCGGCUCUCUGGUCUGCAACUGAC